ACUGAAUAGAUACCCGGGUAGUCCACGCCCUAAACGAUGACAACUGGCUAUAAGGAGUAUCGACCCUCUUUGUGGCGAAAGCUAAACGCGUUAAGUUGUCCGCCUGGGUAGUACGGCCGCAAGGCUAAAACUCAAAGGAAUAGACGGGGACUUGCACAAGCGGUGGAUCAUGCGGCUCAAUUCGAUGACAAACGAAGAACCUCACCAGGGUUUGAAACCCAGACGAUCGCUCUAGGAAACUAGAGCUUCCGCAAGGCGGCUGGGCAGGUGAUGCAUGGUCGUCGUCAGUUCGUGGCUUGAGUUGUUCCCUUCAGUGGGGUAACGAACGCAACCCUCGUUGCCUGUUUUAAAAGUCAGGCGAGACUGCCCCCUCACGGGGGUAGGAAGGUGAGGAUGACGCCAGAUCAGCAUGUCCCUCUGAUAUCCUGGGCUGCACGCAUGAUACAAUGGACGAGACAACGGGUCGCGACGGAGUAAUCCUGAGCUAAUCCUUAGAACUCGUCCCCGAGUUCGGAUUGAGGGCUGCAACUCGCCCUC
RNAcentral lists this ribosomal RNA (537 nucleotides) under uncultured bacterium. Its description in RNAcentral is "bacterial SSU rRNA". It matches the Rfam family "Bacterial small subunit ribosomal RNA", at positions 772 to 1319 of the family's 1533-position model. The record is from RNAcentral.